GUACUACUGAAGAGCCCAAAAAUAGGACGAAACAGCUGUCCAGUAC
This 46-nucleotide non-coding RNA is filed under the name Trichobilharzia regenti. The record is from RNAcentral. Lineage: Eukaryota; Metazoa; Platyhelminthes; Trematoda; Strigeidida; Schistosomatidae.